RNAcentral lists this ribosomal RNA (486 nucleotides) under Enterococcus durans. RNAcentral describes it as "bacterial SSU rRNA". It matches the Rfam family "Bacterial small subunit ribosomal RNA", at positions 16 to 474 of the family's 1533-position model. The record is from RNAcentral. Lineage: Bacteria; Bacillati; Bacillota; Bacilli; Lactobacillales; Enterococcaceae.
AUCCUGGCUCAGGACGAACGCUGGCGGCGUGCCUAAUACAUGCAAGUCGUACGCUUCUUUUUCCACCGGAGCUUGCUCCACCGGAAAAAGAAGAGUGGCGAACGGGUGAGUAACACGUGGGUAACCUGCCCAUCAGAAGGGGAUAACACUUGGAAACAGGUGCUAAUACCGUAUAACAAUCGAAACCGCAUGGUUUUGAUUUGAAAGGCGCUUUCGGGUGUCGCUGAUGGAUGGACCCGCGGUGCAUUAGCUAGUUGGUGAGGUAACGGCUCACCAAGGCCACGAUGCAUAGCCGACCUGAGAGGGUGAUCGGCCACAUUGGGACUGAGACACGGCCCAAACUCCUACGGGAGGCAGCAGUAGGGAAUCUUCGGCAAUGGACGAAAGUCUGACCGAGCAACGCCGCGUGAGUGAAGAAGGUUUUCGGAUCGUAAAACUCUGUUGUUAGAGAAGAAYAAGGAUGAGAGUAACUGUUCAUCCCUKACG